AAAAAAGGAGCUGAUCAAAACCAAUAAAAAAAUACAAACAAAAGAAAAAUCUGGAAUAAACCAAUGUGCCUGAAACAAAGAAAAGAAAUGCAGAUAAUUGGAUCUUCAUGACAUUUUCCCAACUGGCCACUUUCCCUGUAACAAGACCAAGCCUGUCUCUUCCAUUGUACUCUCGUGAGCUACCUGGGUCAGAACCUGAAAUCUUG
Molecule: long non-coding RNA, 206 nt
Filed under: Homo sapiens (human)
Lineage: Eukaryota; Metazoa; Chordata; Mammalia; Primates; Hominidae
Description: non-protein coding lnc-FBXW11-1:1
Source: RNAcentral